GCGUGGGUCGGCCCGCUGUACUGGAUCCAGUGGGCUGGGGGACACCGCCGCCUCAUAUCCCCGCGGGCGGCGGACGGGCCCGGGGGGCGUGCCGCGUCCCCCGGGCUGCG
This 110-nucleotide non-coding RNA is filed under the name Streptomyces lincolnensis. RNAcentral describes it as "Streptomyces RNA 4115". It matches the Rfam family "Streptomyces RNA 4115". Rfam says of the family: Identified by deep sequencing of transcriptome at the end of exponential growth phase. Sequencing size consistent with notrthern blot size. The record is from Rfam by way of RNAcentral. Lineage: Bacteria; Bacillati; Actinomycetota; Actinomycetes; Kitasatosporales; Streptomycetaceae.